UACGUAGGGUGCAAGCGUUAAUCGGAAUUACUGGGCGUAAAGCGUGCGCAGGCGGUUCGGAAAGAAAGAUGUGAAAUCCCAGAGCUUAACUUUGGAACUGCAUUUUUAACUACCGAGCUAGAGUGUGUCAGAUGGAGGUGGAAUUCCGCGUGUAGCAGUGAAAUGCGUAGAUAUGCGGAUGAACACCGAUGGCGAAGGCAGCCUCCUGGGAUAACACUGACGCUCAUUCACGACAGCAUCGGGAGCAAAAA
Molecule: ribosomal RNA, 251 nt
Filed under: uncultured Achromobacter sp.
Lineage: Bacteria; Pseudomonadati; Pseudomonadota; Betaproteobacteria; Burkholderiales; Alcaligenaceae
Description: partial 16S ribosomal RNA
Rfam family: Bacterial small subunit ribosomal RNA
Source: RNAcentral